GCCCGGCUAGCUCAGUCGGUAGAGCAUGAGACUCUUGAUCUCAGGGUCGUGGGUUUGAGCCCCACGCUGGGCA
Molecule: transfer RNA, 73 nt
Filed under: Podarcis lilfordi (Lilford's wall lizard)
Lineage: Eukaryota; Metazoa; Chordata; Lepidosauria; Squamata; Lacertidae
Rfam family: tRNA
About the family: Transfer RNA (tRNA) molecules are approximately 80 nucleotides in length. Their secondary structure includes four short double-helical elements and three loops (D, anti-codon, and T loops).
Source: Rfam by way of RNAcentral